RNAcentral lists this transfer RNA (70 nucleotides) under Scopelarchoides danae. RNAcentral's name for it is "tRNA-Gly". It matches the Rfam family "tRNA". Rfam says of the family: Transfer RNA (tRNA) molecules are approximately 80 nucleotides in length. Their secondary structure includes four short double-helical elements and three loops (D, anti-codon, and T loops). Further hydrogen bonds mediate the characteristic L-shaped molecular structure. tRNAs have two regions of fundamental functional importance: the anti-codon, which is responsible for specific mRNA codon recognition, and the 3' end, to which the tRNAs corresponding amino acid is attached (by aminoacyl-tRNA synthetases). tRNAs cope with the degeneracy of the genetic code in two manners: having more than one tRNA (with a specific anti-codon) for a particular amino acid; and 'wobble' base-pairing, i.e. permitting non-standard base-pairing at the 3rd anti-codon position. Lineage: Eukaryota; Metazoa; Chordata; Actinopteri; Aulopiformes; Scopelarchidae. The record is from RNAcentral.
AUCUUUCUAGUAUAACCCAGUAUACGUGACUUCCAAUCACCCGGCCCUGGUUAAAAUCCAGGGAAAGAUA